Molecule: ribosomal RNA, 496 nt
Filed under: Botrytis cinerea
Lineage: Eukaryota; Fungi; Ascomycota; Leotiomycetes; Helotiales; Sclerotiniaceae
Description: eukaryotic LSU rRNA
Rfam family: 5.8S ribosomal RNA (bases 129-282)
Source: RNAcentral
AAAAACCCUCCCACCCUUGUGUAUUAUUACUUUGUUGCUUUGGCGAGCUGCCUUCGGGCCUUGUAUGCUCGCCAGAGAAUACCAAAACUCUUUUUAUUAAUGUCGUCUGAGUACUAUAUAAUAGUUAAAACUUUCAACAACGGAUCUCUUGGUUCUGGCAUCGAUGAAGAACGCAGCGAAAUGCGAUAAGUAAUGUGAAUUGCAGAAUUCAGUGAAUCAUCGAAUCUUUGAACGCACAUUGCGCCCCUUGGUAUUCCGGGGGGCAUGCCUGUUCGAGCGUCAUUUCAACCCUCAAGCUUAGCUUGGUAUUGAGUCUAUGUCAGUAAUGGCAGGCUCUAAAAUCAGUGGCGGCGCCGCUGGGUCCUGAACGUAGUAAUAUCUCUCGUUACAGGUUCUCGGUGUGCUUCUGCCAAAACCCAAAUUUUUCUAUGGUUGACCUCGGAUCAGGUAGGGAUACCCGCUGAACUUAAGCAUAUCAUAGCGGGAAGGAAAAGAC